RNAcentral lists this ribosomal RNA (253 nucleotides) under uncultured bacterium. RNAcentral describes it as "partial 16S ribosomal RNA". It matches the Rfam family "Bacterial small subunit ribosomal RNA", at positions 524 to 776 of the family's 1533-position model. The record is from RNAcentral.
UACAGAGGGUGCAAGCGUUAAUCGGAAUUACUGGGCGUAAAGCGUGCGCAGUCGGUUAUUUAAGUCGGGCGUGAAAGCCCCGGGCUCAACCUGGGAAUUGCGUUCGAUACUGGAUAGCUAGAGUUCGGCAGAGGGAAGCGGAAUUUCGGGUGUAGCGGUGAAAUGCGUAGAUAUCCGAAGGAACAUCAGUGGCGAAAGCGGCUUCCUGGACCAGAGCUGACGAUCAGGCACGAAAGCGUGGGGAGCAAACAGG